CAUAAUUCAUCUAUUAUGUUCCACAAUAUGGCAACAUGCAUAAUUCUUCUAUCAUAUGCAAUAUAUGUUAUCAUGUAUAUGUUUCUAUUUAACAUAAUCCACAAUAUGUUAAUUCACAAUAUGUCAUCAUGCACAUAUAUUACUAGCAUCACAUGAUAUGUCAACAUACAUAUAAUCAUUAUCCAAAGUAGUCUAUACUUAGCAUCUCAUGCAUUCUUUUAGCAUUUAAUUCAUUAUGCAUUUCAUCUCAUUGGUAGGUAAUAUCAACUACAUAAUAUGUUUCAAGCAUUCAUAUUAUCAUGUAAGCCUACCAAUACAACUAUAUGCAUCAAUGUGAAUUCGUAUGUUUCUUAGACAUAAAGGGCGACCUAGUCGCUUCGGUAAGCACAACCCACCUCAAAUCGCUUUCUGAUUGCUUAUCGACACUUGCAAUCGGCCUCCUGCGACACCCGGCACCCGCUUUGGCCCGAUCUCUCGCGCGACCACCCGAACGGCCUCCAAUCCACAAUCCGAAAAUUAAAACUCUUCGGUUAUGUGCCACAGCGCUUCAAAUCCACUUUCAUGAUUUUACGAUGUCGCCUCGGCCCUCCAGGCGGAAACGAAGCCUAACGUCCGUUUCUUUAAUAACUUCACAACGGCUCGACGAAUCGCCGAACCGACUUCGCCAACGCAUUCGUUUACCUAACAAUUAGAUUUAUGGAGGGUCAAAUUAGAUCAAACCCUUAUAUUUUACAAAACCCCAUUUUCUAAGCCUAAUAUGAAUUAACCUCCAAAUAAUCCAAAUUAAAUGGAUCAAUAUGCUAACAAAGCUCAUUAGAGGCUAUUAGAACACUUAAAGCUAAGUAUUAAGCCAAAUCCCAAAAGCUUACGACAAUGUGAACACCGCGACGAAAACACGCCAUUCCAACGGGCGCACGAAAGCGCGAUCCGUCGCCUCCAACGCGUUCGCAAGCAUCUUCUCCACCAACGCCGCGAAUUUGAGCGAGAGAUAUAUUUGGAGAGAUGGGAGAGAUCUUUAGAGAGAGAAAGGAACAGUUGGAGCCCUUCUAAAUGUCCGUUUGGGCUCAAAUUUGACAGGCAGGCUCAGUUUAAUGUACUGAGUAAGAAUAUAUCUUAAGUUUUCAGUUUCGACCCCGUUUGGUCACUGAAAAUUGUACUGAACUGUAAUCUUUAUUAGAUAACUAUCGGAUUUUAUUUUUCACCUUCCGGGUGUCAGAAUGACAUGAAACUUUAAAUAUAGCCUCAUAAAAAUAAUUCUGACUUACCCUCCAGUUUUCAUAAUUUUCUGACACUGUGCAUUUUCUGCUAAUUUAUCUGCCCCGUUUCUCACAGAAAAUUCUAAAUCUUCUGUUUUCACUCCAAUUUCAGCACAGGUCGUUUCUAACUCGUAUUUCACUUCUCCAAAUCCAAUAAAAAUAGUAUCUCAUACUAUUUUUAUUUAUUUUCAUUUUUGUAUUUAAAAUCCGGUAUACUACAUUCCACCACAAUCUCACCGGAACCAUUCAAAUGGCUUUCCAACCAAAUGUAUAUCGUAACUUCAUAAUUUUAGAAGUCCGGUACCUUACAUUCUCCCCUCCUUAAAAGAGUUUCGUCCUCGAAACUAUCUCACUUCAAUUUCAAUUCAUACCCCAACUCAACUUAUCAAAUAGUCGAGGGUUCCAAUGCACUUUCGCAUCUUGGAGUGGCCUUUCACUCAUCGGAACUAUCCAAAGGCUCACUACGGAAGAUGUGAGACUAGAUUCACUCACAUUUGCCAUGUGCAGCUCCAAAAGUACAUUACCACCAUGCAAAGAACUACUCUUGCGUUAUACAGCCAAUCGAAAAAUUUCACUCUGAUUCGAUCACCUGCAUUGCUUAGAAGCAAUAUCGUUGGUGACUCGACCAAUCGCGAGUGGUUCAUCACAACUGGAUCCUUGCUCUAUCACGAGAUGGCCCACUCCGGCACAUCUCCAAUCUCAAUUCACGAAAGAGCAUUGUCCUCAAGCUCCAAUUCCCACGUGGCUAUCCACAUCUCAACGUCGCACAAGAGCACUUCGCCCUUGAUAUCAUAAGCCACGACCAACUCUACUUCGCUCUUGCGACAAAUCCACACGAACCCUCCGUUUGUGAAUCCAAGCCAAACUCACUAAUAGAGUUAUUAGCUAACCAAUUAUGUCGGUUUCCACAGGGGGACCAACGGUCACCCGUCCUACGUAGGUCUACCGCCUAAACCUCUCACAACUACUCAUAGCGUCCCUCGCUCACCAGCGUAGACCCAAUCAUAAUCGGGCGAAAUUCUCAUUGGAGAAUUUGCACACACUCCAACCAGGAGCAACCGUGACCCCAAACCACCUCAAAUUCUCGGGUUGGGUCACUACACACUCGGUGUAUCCUCGAUCUCAUGAUCCAACAUGUGGCAUUCCACGUUCCCGGGUCCAAGCUCGGACUACCGUCCUGACCAAAUCUCUGCCCUACCAAUAGGUACCGGGCCGCUGUCUCUCACAGCUGACUGCGCCUGCCCAAAGGGCCCAGGCUCCACAGUCCACAAAUGGUCCAGGCACGAGUCGUCCCCAAGCACUACCCGCCGUCGUCGUCCCCACACAACAUACUCUAUCGAGCUAUAAAUACACUAUCGACUCCUAAGCAUCUAGUGCGAGCCACCAGCCCUACGAGUGAUCCAUGGCCCGCUUCACACUUAGCAAUGCUGAGUGCUACUGCCAACUCACUCUCCCGGCUGAAUCGAAACGCACUCUACGAGUACCCACACUCGAGCGCUCUAUACGCCUCCAUAGCGUUCCACACGAAGUCCAGCAUUAGGCAAUCUUGUCUAUGCACACCGGCCGCGCGAGCGCAACCACCUACCUCACCUUGAGGUACUACUAGGCCCACGUGCUCAAACUUGGCCACUAAUCGACCGUUCUCUCAACAGUGAUGCUACUUUCACUGUUCGAUCUAUCGGAAUGACAUCCGAAAUUUUCGGACCACUCGGGUGUUCUCAUAAGCAUCAUGACUCAACUCUCGCAAUUUACUACUCAUAUCGCUCUGAGAUUCGUUUCGCCACUUCUAUCUCUACCGCGAGUCUCACUUCUCGCCAUAGAUUACUUCUAGCACUUCGCUAGUGCCAUCUGGCUCUAUACCUCUACUGGCAGGUACUAUGCCCUCAGAUAACACAAAACUCCAUUUCUAGAGCAAUCAAACCUAUCUCUAGAAAUCCACCAUGAGAGAGAGCUUAGAAGCUUACCUCUCCGAGAAGCUCCGACCAAGGAGAAGAUGAAGAAGAUGAGGAAGACCUUCUUCUCCUUCUCUUUCUUUCCUUUCCUUUCUUCUUCCUCUUCUUGUCUUCUAGAGAGAGAAAGAGAGAUAUGAGAGGGUGUGUGGGUGAGAAAUGAGAGAAAAGAGCUCUCAUACCCCUCACAUAGCCCCACAUGUUGCAUAAGUGCAAAUAAGCCCCUCAACUUCAUUCUUAUGCACCGCCCUCACUGGGCAUUCUGCGCCCAGAGGGACCGGUCCCUCGUCGGGAAGACCGGUCCCCGAGAGCCCUCCCUGCGGCCUGGGGACCUUUCGCGUACGAGAACCGGUCCCCACCCGAGAGAUCGGUCCCUGGGAGACCGGUCCUUCCUGAGAGACUUGUUCCCGAGAGCUGAAUUUUCAGGACUUAGCCUUUUUUUGCCCUUCUCUCGCUGGUGUCGCAUACGGGGACCGGUCCCCUCAGCCAGGGACUGGUUGCAUCAACCUCCCCCGCAACCAUCAGCUACGGGGAUCGGUCCUCCCUUCCAGGGACCGGUUCCCGAGAGCAAAAUCUGCUAAGUCCAGAUUUUUGCAUAUUUGCUCUCGCGGACAUGUUUCCAAUGCGCUUUUUGUGUUUUGGACAUCUUUAGCUUUUUCAAAGGAUAUUCACUCGACAAAUAGUCGAUCCUGGAGGAAGUACAACUCUCGGAUUUCGAGAAUUCACUUCCUUACAUGCACAACCUCGACUACGUCCGGCCAAGGUCUCCGCGGAGGCAUUACUCCGCCACUCACACGAGAGUGGCCAAUCACACGCGAAGUCCUAAGUCUCCGCUCGUUUCGGAUUGCUUAGGGACACCACUCGUCCAAUCCCACGCCGAUCUAGAUGAAGAUCGCCUACGCGGUGCCAUCGCUUUCUAAGACACGACAACUCGAUCGAUUCUCGACCCUCAAGGUCAAGCGCGAAACAACUAACACCGACUCGAAUCGGGCGAAAGUCAUGCAAGGGUGUCUAUUCUCAUCACUCGGUUUCAUGUUGUAUAUACCCAACAUGAACACUCUCAGUUGAGAAUAAACCACACCUUGAGUCUUACCUCUAAUAUCCGUUUUAGAGGUUUACUAACCUGACCCAAUCUCUCGCCAUAAGUCACAAGUCCUCGUCUCUCACGAGCCUUAUUCUCCUAUGGUUUACUAUCCUAGGGUCUCCUAGGUCCGCCUAAACCAUUUCCCAUUCUCUACUUUAUGCUCUGAUACCACUCUAUCUGUCACGACCCGCGACCACCCGCCUAUUUGGCCGAGGUCGCGGCGCCGCCGACAGACUGCCGAACGGACAGAGUCUCCCUUGUACGUUCUAGGCGUCCCAAUCAAUACAAGUACAAGAAGUUCCAACCAGGAACAGUAUUCAAGCAAGAUUGCAUAAGGAAGGUAUCAAACAACAUAACACAUCCUAUGUUAUUAUAAGCAUUCCCAUUAGAUUUAUUUUUACAUCACAUUUGCAUUAUUACAUUACAUUUUCUUCCAAAUACAAUUAAUGAUCGCAAUAUUAUUACAAGUUUGCUCCUUUUUUUUCUUUUCCCUCUACCCCUAGGCUAUGCCGACUCGGGGUACCUCUAUCUCUGGUCUAUGGGGUAGGGCGCUAUCUAUGGAGCUACGCCCUCGCCUUGCGCCGCCGCGCCGCUCACGUGCGAACCUGCAACACCCCAAAAUAAUGUGGGGUGAGAACUAACUCCAUGGUUCCCAGUGGGUACAGCCACCGAAGGGAAGAGCUCGACCAAUAGGUCUAAGGAGGUCCUGCAACAUGUUAGUCCAACAGAUAUCCAACAGAUAUAUAUAUUCAAGUAUUGAAAUACAUGUUGUGCCUCACAAUAUGCAAUAUGAAAUUCAUGCAGUUUAUGCAACCAUGCAACCAACUAGUAGUUCAAUCGAUACUACUUUUAUUCCUGUUAUUUACAGUUCAACCAAUUGACUUCUAAGUUUUCCUCUAUCUUAGAUUCUUGUCAAUUACAAUUCUGCUCAUAGGGUUUAACCUGCUUUUAUAAGCUAUCCACUCGACUCAGUCUUGAGUAAAUCACACGCGGAAUACAGCACAAAGCCAGGCUCAAGGUGAAGGAUGUCUCACAUACACCUCAGCCCUAAAUCCACUCAACUGGGAUGCAACUAAAACUCAUGUAUUGCAUCAAAUAGUGAAGGUUUACUAUUAUGCUAACGAAUUCGAUCCAUGCUCGAAUAAAAAUGUUCAAUGACAUUGUUCACUAUUCCUUUACCCAAUCUGUAGUGAAGCCCUUCGGUUCGCCAAUAACUCACCUUUCAAUCCCAAAGUGGGGAGGGAGCUCCAAGUGCACCCAACCCCAGGACCGUCUGCGGACCUCUAUGUGGUCCGGACCUCCAAGUGGUCCUAGCUGCACGACACUCCGGAGUACUUGACGAUAAUCCCCUCCACGUGGGGAUAGGAUGGCUAUACCACCCCAAAAGCAGACUGUGAGCUAGAUCUAUCCUCUCCAAGUGAGGAUACCCUACAACUAGGGUCAACAACCCAAUCAAGUCCUCUCCAAGUGAGAAUGCUAUACAACUGGAGUCAACAACCCAAUCAAAUCCUCUCCAAGUGAGGAUGCUCUACAACUAGAGUCAACAACCCAAUCAAAUCCUCUCCAAGUGAGGAUGCUCUACAACUAGAGUCAAUGUCUCAAUAACUCAUCGACAACCUCUCCAUGUGAGGGUACUUAGGUUUACUAAAUUCUUUAUCCACAAGGCAUUUUCUAAGGGAUUCACCUAUCCCUAGGUUCUCAAACCUCUAGUGUCAAAUACACUACAUUAAUGCCACUCGAUAUGUUCUUGUUUUCCAAAGUCAAUUUCUCUAAUCGACCAAGUUCAACAUGCAUAAUUCAUCUACUAUGUUCCACAAUAUGGCAACAUGCAUAAUUCUUCUAUCAUAUGCAAUAUAUGUCAUCAUGUAUUUGUUUCUAUUUAACAUAAUCCACAAUAUAUUAAUUCACAAUAUGUCAUCUUGCACAUAUAUUACUAGCAUCACAUGACAUGUCAAUAUACAUAUAAUCAUUAUCCAAAGUAGUCUAUACUUAGCAUCUCAUGCAUUCUUUUAGCAUUUAAUUCAUUAUACAUUUCAUCUCAUUGGUAGGUAAUAUCAACUACAUAAUAUGUUUCAAGCAUUCAUAUUAUCAUGUAAGCCUACCAAUACAACUA
This 6402-nucleotide long non-coding RNA is filed under the name Ananas comosus (pineapple). RNAcentral describes it as "long non-coding RNA (ACOM_LNC039689)". The record is from RNAcentral. Lineage: Eukaryota; Viridiplantae; Streptophyta; Magnoliopsida; Poales; Bromeliaceae.